Molecule: unclassified non-coding RNA, 478 nt
Filed under: uncultured Glomus
Lineage: Eukaryota; Fungi; Glomeromycota; Glomeromycetes; Glomerales; Glomeraceae
Description: SSU rRNA
Rfam family: Eukaryotic small subunit ribosomal RNA
Source: RNAcentral
AGCAGCCGCGGUAAUUCCAGCUCCAAUAGCGUAUAUUAAAGUUGUUGCAGUUAAAAAGCUCGUAGUUGAAUUUCGGGAUUGACACAUCGGUCGUGCCUUAAGGGGUAUGAACUGGUGUAGUCAAUUUCUCACCUUCUGGAGAACCGCGAUGCCCUUAAUUGGGUGUCGCGGGGAACCAGGACCUUUACUUUGAAAAAAUUAGAGUGUUUAAAGCAGGCAUUUUGCUUGAAUACAUUAGCAUGGAAUAAUAAAAUAGGACGGCAUGAUUCUAUUUUGUUGGUUUCUAGGAUCACCGUAAUGAUUAAUAGGGAUAGUUGGGGGCAUUAGUAUUCAAUUGUCAGAGGUGAAAUUCUUGGAUUUAUUGAAGACUAACUACUGCGAAAGCAUUUGCCAAGGAUGUUUUCAUUAAUCAAGAACGAAAGUUAGGGGAUCGAAGACGAUCAGAUACCGUCGUAGUCUUAACCAUAAACUAUGCCGA